GGACGAACGCUGGCGGCGUGCUUAACACAUGCAAGUCGAACGGAAAGGCCCUGCUUUUGUGGGGUGCUCGAGUGGCGAACGGGUGAGUAACACGUGAGUAACCUGCCCUUGACUUUGGGAUAACUUCAGGAAACUGGGGCUAAUACCGGAUAGGAGCUCCUGCUGCAUGGUGGGGGUUGGAAAGUUUCGGCGGUUGGGGAUGGACUCGCGGCUUAUCAGCUUGUUGGUGGGGUAGUGGCUUACCAAGGCUUUGACGGGUAGCCGGCCUGAGAGGGUGACCGGCCACAUUGGGACUGAGAUACGGCCCAGACUCCUACGGGAGGCAGCAGUGGGGAAUAUUGCACAAUGGGCGGAAGCCUGAAGCAGCAACGCCGCGUGCGGGAUGACGGCCUUCGGGUUGUAAACCGCUUUCGCCUGUGACGAAGCGUGAGUGACGGUAAUGGGUAAAGAAGCACCGGCUAACUACGUG
Molecule: ribosomal RNA, 469 nt
Filed under: uncultured bacterium
Lineage: Bacteria
Description: partial 16S ribosomal RNA
Rfam family: Bacterial small subunit ribosomal RNA
Source: RNAcentral